This 481-nucleotide ribosomal RNA is filed under the name uncultured bacterium. RNAcentral's name for it is "partial 16S ribosomal RNA". It matches the Rfam family "Bacterial small subunit ribosomal RNA", at positions 28 to 505 of the family's 1533-position model. The record is from RNAcentral.
GACGAACGCUGGCGGCGUGCUUAACACAUGCAAGUCGAACGCUGAAGCUCAGCUUUUGUUGGGUGGAUGAGUGGCGAACGGGUGAGUAACACGUGAGUAACCUGCCUCCUUCUUUGGGAUAACGCCCGGAAACGGGUGCUAAUACUGGAUAUUCACUGGUCUUCGCAUGGGGGUUGGUGGAAAGGGUUUUUCUGGUGGGGGAUGGGCUCGCGGCCUAUCAGCUUGUUGGGGGGGGGAUGGCCUAACAAGGCUGUGAGGGGUAGCCGGCCUGAGGGGGUGACCGGUCACAGUGGGACUGAGAUACGGCCCAGACUCCUCCGGGGGGCAGCAGUGGGGAAUAUUGCACAAUGGGCGCAAGCCUGAUGCAGCGACGCCGCGUGAGGGUUGGGGGCUUUCGGGUUGUUAGCCUCUUUCGCUCAUGGUCAGGCCGCAACAAUGGUUGUGGUGGGGGUAGUGGGUAAAGAAGCGCCGGCUAACUACG